AAUAUUGGACAAUGGGCGCAAGCCUGAUCAAGCCAUACCGCGUGAGUGAAGAAGGCCCUCGGUUUGUAAAGCUCUUUUGUUGGGAAAGAAAAGCUGUUGGAGAAUACCCGGCACGGAUGAAGGAACCAAAAGUAUAAGGACCGUCUAACUUCGUUCCAUCAGCCGCGGUAAUACGAAGGGUGCAAGCGUUACUCGGAAUUACUGGGCGUAAAGCGUGCGUAGGUGGUGGUUUAAGUCUGUUGUGAAAGCCCUGGGCUCAAACUGGGAAUUGCAGUGGAUACUGGAUCACUAGAGUGUGGUAGAGGGUGGCGGAAUUCCCGGUGUAGCAGUGAACUGCGUAGAGAUCGGGAGGAACAUCCGUGGCGAAGGCGGCCACCUGGGCCAACACUGACACUGAGGCACGAAAGCGUGGGGAGCAAACAGG
This 424-nucleotide ribosomal RNA is filed under the name uncultured bacterium. RNAcentral describes it as "partial 16S ribosomal RNA". It matches the Rfam family "Bacterial small subunit ribosomal RNA", at positions 360 to 776 of the family's 1533-position model. The record is from RNAcentral.